AGGCCUUCCUUUGACUGCCAGCUAAGGUUGGUUGAUGCUUGGCUGCUAUUUCUCAUUUCCUCGACUCUCCUUUCACCGACUUCCUUCGCUCUCUCUCAGAAACCUAGAGAGAGAAAUCUUCGACACCAGUGAUCGGUGCUCUCAGAUUAUUAAUCGAAAUUCAGCAAUCACCGAUCAUCCAUUCGAUGAUGAUUAUGGGGCUUCGGUUCUUCUUUGGGCUACCACAGCUCGUUGCUGAAAAUGUUCUGGCUUUCAAUGAGGGUUUCUGGAUUCGGCUUGCUGCCAGAACUGAUACCUGCAAAUCAGAGGAUGAUAAAGCAUGGUUUCUUCACUAUUAUCAUUAUUUUUCCGUUGAAUACUAAGUUGUGGAUUCUUAUUUCCAUGAAAAAUGACCCGGAUUUGUUGGCAUGCAGAAAGAUUAUGAAGAAUUGGCAGCAACGCUAAUGAGUACAGUAGACCGUCUUGUUCACAAAACCAAUGAAAAAAUUGAGUCAGCUACCGUUGUUUUAAAAUCAAUCCUCAAACAUGUGCCCUGAAGCUCUCAGUCUGAUGGAACAGGCAUGU
This is a long non-coding RNA of Chenopodium quinoa (quinoa), 564 nucleotides long. RefSeq lists it as uncharacterized. The record is from RefSeq and is a predicted model, not a curated record. The transcript is spliced from 3 exons. NCBI's taxonomy places the organism in Eukaryota, Viridiplantae, Streptophyta, Magnoliopsida, Caryophyllales, Amaranthaceae.